This 435-nucleotide ribosomal RNA is filed under the name Vermistella sp. Its description in RNAcentral is "partial small subunit ribosomal RNA". It matches the Rfam family "Eukaryotic small subunit ribosomal RNA", at positions 587 to 975 of the family's 1831-position model. The record is from RNAcentral. Lineage: Eukaryota; Discosea; Stygamoebida.
AGCUCUAAUAGCGUAUUUUAAAGUUGUUGCAGUUAAAACGCUCGUAGUUGGACCUUAGGGUUUGGUGGCGUCGGUCCGCUGUUAAAAGUGAGUACCGGCCCAUCGGCUCUCCUUAUGAGAUACUCCCUGUCGGGCUUAACUGCUCGGCAGGAGCAGCGGCGUCGGGUUGGCGGGCAACCGUCGGUCAGGCGUCGCCGGGUUCUCAUUCGUUUACUUUGAAUAAAUUAGAGUGUUCAAAGCAGGCACAUUAACGCCUUGAAUAAUCUAGCAUGGGAUAAUGGAAUAGGCUGUCGGCUUAUUUCGUUGGUUUCUAAGCCAGACAGAAUGAUUAAGAGGGACAGUUGGGGGUUUUCGUAUUCAAUUGUCAGAGGUGAAAUUCUUGGAUUUGUUGAAGACGAACUACUGCGAAAGCAUCAACCAAGGAUGUUUUCAUUA